Molecule: long non-coding RNA, 2407 nt
Filed under: Bos indicus x Bos taurus (hybrid cattle)
Lineage: Eukaryota; Metazoa; Chordata; Mammalia; Artiodactyla; Bovidae
Description: lncRNA (ENSBIXG00005003719.1)
Source: RNAcentral
GCCUUGUCUCACCAAUGUCGGAGGACAUCCCUGGAAGUCCAUGCAGGCAUCAUCCCCGGUGUGCAGGUGAGGACACAGACAGGCUUUGAGAGACACAAGGACUCAUCCAGGAUGGAGAACAGGUAGGAAUCGGGAGGUGAGCCUGGACCCAGGUCUGUCUCCUCAGAGCUGCACACAGACCCUGCCCGGGAGCUGUGUGGAGGGCUGUGUGGAGCAACUGUGUGAGCCCGGGCUGCGGGGAUGAGGGAUGAGCGAUCAGUACCCCGAGGGCUGUGUGCACAGGUGUCAACUGUCAGUUCAAGGAAGGGGCCCCCAGGACGUGAAGUCACUUCCUUGACAGCAGAUCCUAACAGGAUUGGGAACCUUGUAACCAGGCACCCACCUCCUAGCAACAGCGCCAUGGCCAGUUGGGGUCACUCGGCUGGAGAGACUUCAUCCAGAAGGAUGUUCUCCAGCUGUGUCUCAACUGACCAGGGCUUCUGCUUGAGGAAACCCUGGAGGGAGAGGUUUUUCAGAUGUUUCAGGCGGUUCAGCGCUCAACCCGGAUGCCUCUGGUCCUUCUAGGAGGUCACCUAAGGUAACCGCAGGCAACCUAGAGCUGGCCACACCAGGCCUGGCCGCCACUGGGAGCCCUCCCUGGGCAGCACCAGCUGCCCUCAUCUCCAUGUGGGGGGAAGUGGAACUUGAGGUGAGGUUCUCCCUCUGGGCAGGAACAGGUUGGUGGUUCCGUGGUGACCUGGUGGUCCUGUCACGGUCACACCUGAGGACAGGCUGGCAGUGGGGAAACAGGAUCCCUGAAGUGCUCUUCUCUGUGCCAGUGUGGAUCCAAGGCCCUCAAGUGGUCGGGUGUCUGCAUCCUCGGUGGAGGUCUGUGGGGAGAUGGUGGGCGUGUGUCUGGAGGGAUGUCUGGGGGUCCGAGAAGCACCACAGACAGCUGGCCGGUGCCCUGAGACUUUCUGCCUGGCUGCCGGGCACUUGUUCACAGGGCUCCUCACCAGACUGCACACAGGAGCAGAUCCAUGGAGCACCCUGCUCCAUCUCCCUGCAUGAGGGGCUGGAGCCCCACACCAGCAACAGAGCCCAGGGCGGGCACAGGGGGGAAAGUGUCCACAGGGAACAGGAAUGAGACCGGCAGGUUGUGGAGUGUCCGGAGACGCAGACUGGAGACGUUGGUGGACAACCUGGUGCCUGCAUUCCUGGGUGGUGACCCUGCCUACCUCCCCACAUUCCUGGGCACCUACAGGGCUUUUGGCACCCCCCAGCAGGUGCUGGACCUUCUCUUCACGAGGUGAGCACUUCCCCUCCCCCACUGGGUACUCGGGGAGACCUGGCCACCUUCCAGCUGUGAGUCGUAGGAAUGUCUCUCCACCUCUGUGAGCCCCAGUUGGCCCCCCCCUGCACUUGAGGGGAAAGGGAGAAGCAGCUCCCUGGGGGGUCUAAGUGGGUGCAUCCUGGAAAGUGCUUCAGUUGUAGAUCCAGAGAAAGUGCAAGAAACAGCUUUCUUCCUCCUUCAGAGCCUGAAUCACCUGGAAAUCCUGUGCAAGCGCUCUUUCUACAGUUCAGUCCCCAGGCUUAAGCCAACCUGGGCCAGGGCACUGCCUGGGCUCUGGAGCCUCUUGGUGCUUUGCAAUCAGCUGUGGCUCCGGUGUUAUCCAGCUGUGGUUCUAGAGACCCCAGCAGACCUACCUUGUGUAGCAGCUGUGGCGCUGGAGCCAGUUCCUCCAUUAACAUCCCUGGAGCCGGUCUCAGAUCAUCAGUGAGCCUUGGUAUCACCGAAUCGAUGGGCAUGAGUUUGAGUCAACUCCAGGAGUUGAUGAUGGACAGGAAGGCCUGCCGUGCUGCAAUUCAUGGGGUCGAAAAGAGUCGGACACGACUGAGCGACUGAACUGAACUGACUGAACUGAACCAGUGAUGCCAUCCAGCCAUCUCAUCCUGUGUCGUCCCCUUCUCCUCCUGCCCCCAAUCCCUCCCAGCAUCAGAGUCUUUGACCCAUGUGAAUGAGCCACCUCUUUGCAUGAAGUGGCCAAAGUACUGGAGUUUCAGCUUUAGCAUCAUUCCUUCCAAUGACCACCCAGGACUGAUCUCCUUUAGAAUGGACUGGUUGGAUCUCCUUGCAGUCCAAGGGACUCUCAAGAGUCUUCUCCAACACCACAGUUCAAAAGAAUCAAUUCUUCAGCGCUCAGCUUUCUUCACAGUCCAACUCUUACAUCCAUACAUGGCUACUGGAAAGACCAUAGCCUUGACUAGAUGGACCUUUGUGGGCAAAGUAAUGUCUCUGCUUUUUAAUAUGCUAUCUAGGUUGGUCAUAACUUUCCUUCCAAGGAGUAAGAAUCUUUUAAUUUCAUGGCUGCAAUCACCAUCUGCAGUGAUUUUGGAGCCAAAAAUAAAUAAAUAAAUAAGAAAGAAA